AGAGUUUGAUCCUGGCUCAGGAUGAACGCUAGCGGCAGGCCUAAUACAUGCAAGUCGAGCGGCAAGUCGAGGAGUAAUCUAAGACCUAGAGCGGCGCACGGGUGCGUAACGCGUAUGCAACCUACCUCAUACAGGGGGAUAGCCCGGAGAAAUCUGGAUUAAUACCCCAUGGUACUGUGACAAGGCAUUUUGUUAUAGUUAAAGAUUCAUCGGUAUGAGAUGGGCAUGCGUCUGAUUAGCUAGUUGGCGGUGUAACGGACCACCAAGGCGACGAUCAGUAGGGGUUCUGAGAGGAAGGUCCCCCACACUGGCACUGAGAUACGGGCCAGACUCCUACGGGAGGCAGCAGUAGGGAAUAUUGGGCAAUGGACGAGAGUCUGACCCAGCCAUGCCGCGUGCAGGAAGACGGCGUUCUGCGUUGUAAACUGCUUUUAUCUGGGAAGAAAAGGCCCAUGCGUGGGACAUUGCCGGUACCAGAUGAAUAAGCACCGGCUAACUCCGUGCCAGCAGCCGCGGUAAUACGGAGGGUGCAAGCGUUGUCCGGAUUUAUUGGGUUUAAAGGGUGCGUAGGCGGCUAUUUAAGUCAGUGGUGAAAGACUCCGGCUCAACCGGAGCAGUGCCAUUGAUACUGGACAGCUUGAGUGUUGGAGGGGUACAUGGAAUUGAUGGUGUAGCGGUGAAAUGCAUAGAUACCAUCAGGAACACCGAUAGCGAAGGCAUUGUACUGGCCAACAACUGACGCUGAGGCACGAAAGCAUGGGGAGCGAACAGGAUUAGAUACCCUGGUAGUCG
Molecule: ribosomal RNA, 792 nt
Filed under: uncultured bacterium
Lineage: Bacteria
Description: bacterial SSU rRNA
Rfam family: Bacterial small subunit ribosomal RNA
Source: RNAcentral